Molecule: non-coding RNA, 100 nt
Filed under: Klebsiella oxytoca
Lineage: Bacteria; Pseudomonadati; Pseudomonadota; Gammaproteobacteria; Enterobacterales; Enterobacteriaceae
Description: traJ-II RNA
Rfam family: traJ-II RNA
Source: RNAcentral
GGGCAGGACAUGUAAAGUAGGCCCACCGUAAACGGUGCUUCUACUUUACCUUCCCUUAUUCGCAGCGGGGCUGCUCAACUGGAGUCCUGCUCUGCGAGGC